RNAcentral lists this long non-coding RNA (928 nucleotides) under Homo sapiens (human). RNAcentral's name for it is "long intergenic non-protein coding RNA 1584". Lineage: Eukaryota; Metazoa; Chordata; Mammalia; Primates; Hominidae. The record is from RNAcentral.
AACUCCUAGUUGAGUGUGAAGACCUGAGGUAUCAGGGGUAGGGGUUGCUCUGCUUGUGUAAGUCCCAUAGUGUGAAGGCCAGAGAACCAAGAGAUGGUCAAGAAGAGAGACAAGACCAACCCCGCCUCUUCCUUCUCCUUCUCGACCUACUCAAAGUAAAGAUGAGGAUGAAGACCCUUAAGAUGAUCCACUCCCACUUAAUGAAUAAUGGUGAAUUGCACUCUGAAGAGCUUCCUAAGCUUGUAAGAAAGUGAUUCUGAAAAGCUCAACAUUUUGGUAGAAUGGAGAGAUUUGACAUUGCUUCUGCUCCAAAAGCAAAAGACUUGGGCCUGGCGUAAAGGAGAUGGGACUCACACCCAAGAGGAUGCAUUUCCAUACACCCAUUUCUGAAAUAUGAAGAGGUGUCCAGUCUGUUUGAUUCAUAGCUGCCUGUUCCACAACUGCAGAUACAGUAAUUGAUAACCGAGACCAAGUUCUCAUCCCCAUCUCCCAGGGCUGGAACUGGGGCUGUGUUUGGUUCUCAUAAGAUCAGUUCCAGUUUUAGAAACUGAGUAAAUUGUGGAGUAAAUAUUGCCAAGUGAUGGCUUUCUGCUGUAGGCGUGGGUCGCUGUUGGCCAUUUGCCUCAGCAUAUCACCAGCAAUGCACCUCAUUGCAUCACUGCAUUUCCAAUUACACCUCAAAGCACCACUGGUCCCCUGUCCACCCUCUGCCCUGCAGAGGUGGGUGUUCAGGGAGACAGAUCCAAAAUCUGGGCUCAGAAGAUGGAAAUGCCAACUGCUCUCAAUUUGAGAGUGGGGAUGAGACUUUUUGACUCAACUCUGGUUAAUUCAGCCAUGCUGUCAGAGCUGCUUUGAUGCAAGGACAUCUGAAUGCUAUCUGAAUGCUGCCCCUAAAAUAACAAAUUAAAAACAACAACAACAACAAAAA